UACGUAGGGACCGAGCGUUGUCCGGAAUCAUUGGGCGUAAAGAGCGUGUAGGCGGCCACUUAAGUCCUGCGUGAAAUCUUGCGGCUCAACCGCAAGCGGUCGUGGGAAACUGGGUGGCUAGAGUGCGGAAGAGGAGAGUGGAAUUCCCGGUGUAGCGGUGAAAUGCGCAGAUAUCGGGAAGAACACCCGUGGCGAAGGCGGCUCUCUGGGACGGUACUGACGCUGAGACGCGAAAGCGUGGGGAGCGAACAGG
Molecule: ribosomal RNA, 253 nt
Filed under: uncultured bacterium
Lineage: Bacteria
Description: partial 16S ribosomal RNA
Rfam family: Bacterial small subunit ribosomal RNA
Source: RNAcentral